GAUGAACGCUGGCGGCAUGCCUAACACAUGCAAGUCGAGCGGAAGCACAAUAAGAUUUUUCUCUUACGGUUAGCGAGUGACGGACGGGUAACGCAUACAUCGGCAUCUUCUUUUUCGGGGAGGAUUACGGGGAGAAACUUACGCUAAUACCUCAUACGACCAACGGCAUGAAUCAGUGGUGCUUGGCACCUUUCCUGUUUGUAUUAGCCGAUGCCGGAUUAGCUAGUUGGCUUGGUAAAGGCCCACCAAGGCAACGAUCCGUAGCUGGGCUGAGAGGAUGAUCAGCCACACUGGAACUGAGACACGGUCCAGACUCCUACGGGAGGCAGCAGUGGGGAAUAUUGGGCAAUGGGCGAAAGCCUGACGCAGCAAUGCCGCGUGGGUGAAGAAGGCCUUCGGGUUGUAAAGCUCUUUUGUUAGGAAAGAAAAGCAGUAGGUGAAUCCACGGACGUCUUGACGGUACCCAAAGAGUAAGCAACGGCUAACUUCGUG
RNAcentral lists this ribosomal RNA (492 nucleotides) under uncultured bacterium. Its description in RNAcentral is "partial 16S ribosomal RNA". It matches the Rfam family "Bacterial small subunit ribosomal RNA", at positions 28 to 507 of the family's 1533-position model. The record is from RNAcentral.